UGCAGUCGAGCGGAACGAUCCUAGCUUGCUAGGAGGCGUCGAGCGGCGGACGGGUGAGUAAUGCAUAGGAAUCUGCCCGGUAGUGGGGGAUAACUUGAGGAAACUCAAGCUAAUACCGCAUACGCCCUACGGGGGAAAGCAGGGGCUCUUCGGACCUUGCGCUAUCGGAUGAGCUUAUGUCGGAUUAGCUGGUUGGUGAGGUAACGGCUCACCAAGGCGACGAUCCGUAGCUGGUCUGAGAGGAUGAUCAGCCACAUCGGGACUGAGACACGGCCCGAACUCCUACGGGAGGCAGCAGUGGGGAAUAUUGGACAAUGGGGGCAACCCUGAUCCAGCCAUGCCGCGUGUGUGAAGAAGGCCCUCGGGUUGUAAAGCACUUUCAGCGAGGAAGAAUGCUUGUCGGUUAAUACCCGGCAAGGGAGACAUCACUCGCAGAAGAAGCACCGGCUAACUCCGUGCCAGCAGCCGCGGUAAUACGGAGGGUGCGAGCGUUAAUCGGAAUUACUGGGCGUAAAGCGUGCGUAGGCGGCUUGAUAAGCCGGUUGUGAAAGCCCCGGGCUCAACCUGGGAACGGCAUCCGGAACUGUUAGGCUAGAGUGCAGGAGAGGAAGGUAGAAUUCCCGGUGUAGCGGUGAAAUGCGUAGAGAUCGGGAGGAAUACCAGUGGCGAAGGCGGCCUUCUGGACUGACACUGACGCUGAGGUACGAAAGCGUGGGUAGCAAACAGGAUUAGAUACCCUGGUAGUCCACGCCGUAAACGAUGUCGACUAGCCGUUGGGGUCCUCGAGACCUUUGUGGCGCAGUUAACGCACUAAGUCGACCGCCUGGGGAGUACGGCCGCAAGGUUAAAACUCAAAUGAAUUGACGGGGCCCGCACAAGCGGUGGAGCAUGUGGUUUAAUUCGAUGCAACGCGAGAACCUUACCUA
This 926-nucleotide ribosomal RNA is filed under the name Halomonas elongata. RNAcentral describes it as "bacterial SSU rRNA". It matches the Rfam family "Bacterial small subunit ribosomal RNA", at positions 56 to 977 of the family's 1533-position model. The record is from RNAcentral. Lineage: Bacteria; Pseudomonadati; Pseudomonadota; Gammaproteobacteria; Oceanospirillales; Halomonadaceae.